Molecule: ribosomal RNA, 301 nt
Filed under: uncultured bacterium
Lineage: Bacteria
Description: partial 16S ribosomal RNA
Rfam family: Bacterial small subunit ribosomal RNA
Source: RNAcentral
CAGUAGCCACGGUAAUACGUAAGGUGCGAGCGUUGUCCGGAAUUACUGGGCGUAAAGAGCUCGUAGGCGGUUUGUCACGUCGUCUGUGAAAUCCUAGGGCUUAACCCUGGACGUGCAGGCGAUACGGGCUGACUUGAGUACUACAGGGGAGACUGGAAUUUCUGGUGUAGCGGUGGAAUGCACAGAUAUCAGAAAGAACACCGAUGGCGAAGGCAGGUCUCUGGGUAGUAACUGACGCUGAGGAGCGAAAGCAUGGGUAGCGAACAGGAUUAGAUACCCCCGUAGUCCCUGUCUCUUAUAU